UACGAAGGGUGCAAGCGUUAUCCGGAUUCACUGGGUUUAAAGGGUGCGUAGGCGGGCAGAUAAGUCAGUGGUGAAAUACCUGAGCUUAACUUGGGAACUGCCAUUGAUACUAUUUGUCUUGAAUGUUGUGGAGGUUAGCGGAAUAUGUCAUGUAGCGGUGAAAUGCUUAGAGAUGACAUAGAACACCUAUUGCGAAGGCAGCUAACUACGCAAAUAUUGACGCUGAGGCACGAAAGCGUGGGGAUCAAACAGG
Molecule: ribosomal RNA, 253 nt
Filed under: uncultured bacterium
Lineage: Bacteria
Description: partial 16S ribosomal RNA
Rfam family: Bacterial small subunit ribosomal RNA
Source: RNAcentral